GAUGAACGCUGGCGGCGUGCCUAAUACAUGCAAGUCGAGCGAACAGACGAGGAGCUUGCGCCUCUGACGUUAGCGGCAGACGGGUGAGUAACACGUGUAUAACCUCCCUAUAAUUCGGGUAAAUUUACGGAAAACCGGAGCUAAUACCGUAUAAUAUACUGAACCGUGGUGGUGAUUAGUGAAAGUCGGCUGUGCUGGCAGUUAUAGAUGGAUCGCGGCCGCAUUAGCUGGUUGGUAAGGUAACGGCUUACCAAGGCGACGAUGCGUAGGCGACCUAAGGGGGUGAUCGGCCACCCUGGAGCUGGGACACGCUCCAGACUCCUACGGGAGGCAGCAGUAGGGAAUGUUCCGCAAAGGGCGAAAGCUUGACGGAGCGACGCCGCGUGAGUGAUGAAGGUCUUCGGAUCGUAAAACUCUGUUAUUAGGGAAGAACAACUGUGUAAGUAACUAUGCACGUCUUGACGGUACCCAAUAAGAAAGCCCCGGCUAACUACGUG
This 497-nucleotide ribosomal RNA is filed under the name uncultured bacterium. Its description in RNAcentral is "partial 16S ribosomal RNA". It matches the Rfam family "Bacterial small subunit ribosomal RNA", at positions 28 to 507 of the family's 1533-position model. The record is from RNAcentral.